ACAUACAUCUAAACAAUGUAAUAAGACUUUGUGCUCUUUACAAUUGGUAUCAUUUAUUUAUUUGCUAUUUGCUUUAGUUGUGUUAUCAUCAAUCACUAAAAAGAGAGAUAUUGUAGCGAAAAUGACCAUAUUAAGCUAUGUAUGUGAUUUUAGUGAUUAAUGAUAACAUAGUUAAUGAGGCUAACAUGUUUGCCAAGUAUAUGCUUUAGUAUGUCUCAUGGUACAAUGCAUAAAGAAGUCACCACAACCGAACUCAAGAUUGAUUGAAUUGGACGAGUUCUGGGCAAAAUGAUUCCACUGGAUGGUCCAUUGUUCAGGGGUUGAACUCAACGGAGUAUUUUGUCCAGAGGCAAAAUAAAGGCUAAUGACUUCACCAGAUAGUCUGGUGGUCUGUGUGUUAAAAUCACCAGAGUAUUUAUGCAGCAGAGUUACCUCAAGGCAAAAAGAUUUGAAAGCACCGGAUAGUCCGAUGACGAGGGGUAUAAAGCACUGGAGCAUUACUUGCAGAGGCGAUUCUAAGUGCUGAAGAAUGAAGAUCAGUUAACCGGAUUGUCCAACACUUGUGUUGUGUACACCGGAGUAUUAUCACAUGAGUAUUUCUACCAGAAAAGGUGUCAGCUGUUGAAGAUUGAAGCUUAACUCACCAGUUGUUCCGGUGUGAAGAGUAUGCACACCAGAUGAUUACCAGAGUAUUUCCAACGGUUAGUGUCACAUGUCAAAUGGCUAGCUGCGAGUGGGGACCAUACGGGAUUGUACGAUGUCCAGAGGAAGCAACACACCAAACAAUUCGGUGUUAAGGAAAAAUUCUGACCGUUGGGCAACGGCCAAUCCACGGGCUUGAGGCUAUAAAUAUCUCUACAACUCGGUAUUUGAUGGAGCUGGAGCGUGCUGGAGUCCAGAGAAACACAGAGACACUUGAGAAGACAUCUAAGCCACCAAAGUGCUAAAAGUGAUAAUCUAAGGCAAUUAACACAUAGAUUAGUGAGUGAUUAGUGUUAUUAGACCUAGAGAGUGUUGCUAGGUGAUUGAUGCUUAGAGAGUGGAUCAACGAGUGAUCUAAGCUUGUACCGAGAGGUGCGCUGACGCCUUGGAGUCUUGGUGACUCGCCGACAUCUUAUGUCUUGGUGGCUCAAGCUUGUUGACCUUCUAACUUAGUGUGGAGCGGUGGCAAGAUGCUUGUACAGGGACGUGAAGACCAUUACCUUGGUGGCUCAAGCUUCGAAGUGACUACAACGACAAGCAGUCGGAAGAGGCUAGUGAUGAGACAUUGCCUUGGUGGUUUGACAGCUCAUCCGGCUUGAGGUCUUGCCUUGGUGGCUCAAGAGCUGUAACCGGAUGCUGUCCGGUAGCAUAUCCUUGAUGGAGCUCCAACGUGAACUAUCGAUACCACAGAAUAAAAAUCCCUUAUGACGGGUUUGCUUUCUACCUUAUUUACGUUUCUGCAUUACAUACUUGCAAUCUAUCUUUGCUCAUUUAUUUUUCUAGAGUAGUUUGCUAGGAUUGGUUAUAGGUUGUAAGCUUUUUGAACGAUAGAGUAGACACUAGAUAAACCCAAAACAUUUUAGAUAGAAAUUGAUAUAGAUUUAUCUUGUGAAGUUUUUAGAGCCAGUUAGGUUUUUAAAUAUCCUAAUUAACUGCUCUCUUAAAACGUCACCGAUCCCUUCAAUUGCAAAUUAUAUGAGUUCAUCCUUCAUAGACCAAAGCAAGUUUCACCAACGUAGAUGGACACUUACCAGCAUUAAUUUCAUUCAUAGCCCUUUUAACUUUUUCAUCGGGUUCUAUGUCAACAAUGAGUGUUUGCACAAUCUCAUAACCAUAAGCACACAUUGCCUUUUCAAGCUCUUCCUCCACAGCUUUUGCUAUUUCAUUCUUUUGCUCAAAAACGUCAUCCAGUUCAAGUUUGGGAACACUUGCCCUUACAACUGUGAGAAAGAGAACAUGUAAGAUUCAAUAGGAUAUUCUACUGUUAUUAUAUUGUAGAAGAUCUAUGGAAAUCUAAGUAGAUGUCCUGUAUAUGCCCUUGUCAAAAACCUUGUCGAGGGGAUCUUUAGCACUGAUAAAUCCAAGUAUUAUCCAUAUCUUUGAGAACUUCCAGAAAUGACUACCCCCCCCCCCCCCGGUCUCAGAAUAGCUGCACACUUUUGUAGGAUUCAGGUUCAAAAUGGUUUUCAUCCAGGGAACCAAGACUGUAGUCAUUACAGCUUUUCCAUCCUAUAAAUACCAUGAAGAUGUUGCUUGAUUUAAAUGAGUUAUUUCAUAAUUAAGGGUAAGCAUGGUCCAGUACUCAAUGCUAUCGACUAUAAUUUUGACUAUGUACCUCCCUAGUAUGUACGCAAAUGGACUAUGGAGUGAGUAUAUUUUUAAGAAGUUAAACUUACCAUCAAAGACAUAUGAUUGUAUUUGAGCUCUUGGGUUGCUCAGCUUGUAGUAUGCAUCACUUGCCUUGUCUUCCAUUGCUCGGUAUUGAAUGGAUGCAACAACAGUUACGAAAACAUUAUCCUGUGAGAGGAUGCAUAAACAAAAAUACGUUCAGAAAUUAUCUUCAGAAGAAGUAGUGAAUAAGGGGAGCAAAAGACCAAAAUAAUCGCACCAGAAAAUACAUAGUAAAAACUAAUAGGUUUCUGGACAAUCUUUAUGAUGAACAUGGAAGCUGAAUCUGACUUGUGAGAAGUCAAAAGUGAGAUACCAUAGUACCUUUGUCUUUGUCUCACAACGGACAUCGAGCUGCCUAAGCCUUAGUGUGAGCUCACCAGUGAUGCGGUUUCCGAUUAUCCAUGGGACGAAAUGGCACCCAGGAUCGAGCACUUCUUCGAACUUCCCAAAUCUUUCCUUGAUGCCUACUGUUGACUGGUUCACCUGUGCAAAGCAGAGGAACCUGCCGAUUGCCGCCACUAGUUUCCCCAUUCUAAUGUCUGUCUUGAAACAAUGAGGAUUCCGAAUCAAUCUUAUCAACAACUUAAUUAUAGAACUUAGUAUUGCCAGACACUACUUUUUGCAGGUAAAUUAUGUGUGGAAGCUUUGCACCGUACAAGAGAACUGAGUACCUAUAGGUAACCCGAGGACUGAGGCAUGUUAGCAACACAAUUUAUAUGAUAUAAAUGUUGAAAUCUGUAAAGUUAUGUGUAGAUAGACUAAUAAAUUGUGGCAUCAUUCAUUGUGUAUAUUUUCGUUUGUUUUGCUGAAUUUGAUCCUCUGCUCUUGGUGAUCUGCGGAAGCCUAAGGUUUACACGCCAGUAUAACGAAAGGUGGCUACACUUUGUUCACCAAAGUUCACAAACCACAUACCCUCUCCAAUUAUUGCUGCUGUAGCAAAAAAAAAUUCGCUUGCACGUGAUUGGCCUAAAAGAUACUCCUACUGUUGUUUCUCUUCUCUUCUCAACUUAUUUACAAUAUACUUUUGCCCUUUUACUAGUUGAACCAUCUGACUCUAUGUACACUUGAAGAAAAAAGGUUAUGACAGAAAAUACUUUGCAUGAAACGAAGAGAAAAUUUUCCCUAUUACAGGGUUUUGCUUCAUGAAACAUGAGACAUAGUUGAGGAAUGAGAAUAGUUGGCUUACAUUACCCUCUCUUUCGAACUUUGAGCACUGGAGCGACAAUCGCUGCUGAAGAUUUGUAUUUACUUAUGAUGGUUUGGAUGAUGGCGCUUUUAUACUAGAGUUCUCAGCAUUGCAAACCAAGAAGUUUAGUAUUCAGGUCAACGUCUGCAUUUUCUCUAUCAUUCCCUGGUCAGAUCCUUUUUCCAAGAGCAAGGAGAAACUGCUUGGAGGACAUUUUUAUGGUUGGAUAUCUUCAAGAAACCAUCAUUCCAUACAGCGGCUGACCCGGCGGGCGGCGUUAGCUGCUUGCAAAGGAACCUUGCGGCUGGCAGCUCAAUGAGGCAGACAACCGAGCGAUCCUCCAAUCGGAUCGCGCAGUAGAAUGACACUUGUAUUCAGAAAAUCAGUGGACAUCAAAAUGUUGCUGUAGCACACAAUCUUGCUCAACAAUCAUGUUAGGUGGCAGCUGGUGCCGUUGUUUAUCUGAGCGUAUUGUAUUGUUCCCAGAUUUGUACUGAACUACUGAUAGUAAAACUUCAUGCUUUUCCUCACAAAAAAGGUAACUUAUUUUGACAACCCUACUCAAAUCAUUGGUUUUCAAUGGAUUUCAGUGUAUUUAGCUAUUUUUCGUGAAGUUGUAAAGGUUUAAUCAUUGAUAUAACCCCGCUCAUGUU
Phragmites australis (common reed) is the source of this 4212-nucleotide long non-coding RNA. RefSeq lists it as uncharacterized. NCBI's taxonomy places the organism in Eukaryota, Viridiplantae, Streptophyta, Magnoliopsida, Poales, Poaceae. The transcript is spliced from 3 exons. The record is from RefSeq and is a predicted model, not a curated record.